Molecule: ribosomal RNA, 405 nt
Filed under: uncultured prokaryote
Also listed under: 1 other name
Description: bacterial SSU rRNA
Rfam family: Bacterial small subunit ribosomal RNA
Source: RNAcentral
UGGGGAAUAUUGCGCAAUGGGGGAAACCCUGACGCAGCAACGCCGCGUGAAGGAUGAAGGCCUUCGGGUUGUAAACUUCUUUGAUUGGGGACGAAUAAUGACGGUACCCAAAAAACAAGCCACGGCUAACUACGUGCCAGCAGCCGCGGUAAUACGUAGGUGGCGAGCGUUGUCCGGAAUUACUGGGUGUAAAGGGCGUGUAGGCGGGGAAGUAAGUCAGAUGUGAAAUUCCGAGGCUCAACCUCGGCGCUGCAUCUGAUACUGCAUCUCUUGAGUGCUGGAGAGGAAAGCGGAAUUCCUAGUGUAGCGGUGAAAUGCGUAGAUAUUAGGAGGAACACCAGUGGCGAAGGCGGCUUUCUGGACAGUAACUGACGCUGAGGCGCGAAAGCGUGGGGAGCAAACAGG